UGCCAGCCGCCGCGGUAAUACGGAGGGUGCGAACGUUGCUCGGAAUCAUUGGGCGUAAAGCGCGCGUAGGCGGGCUAGCAAGUUGGAUGUGAAAGCCCAGGGCUCAACCCUGGAAGUGCAUCCAAAACUGCUAGCCUUGAAUCCCGGAGGGGGCCAGAGAAUUCCCGGUGUAGAGGUGAAAUUCGUAGAUAUCGGGAGGAAUACCAGUGGCGAAGGCGCUGGCCUGGACGGUGAUUGACGCUGAGGUGCGAAAGCGUGGGGAGCGAACAGGAUUAGAUA
This 279-nucleotide ribosomal RNA is filed under the name uncultured bacterium. RNAcentral's name for it is "partial 16S ribosomal RNA". It matches the Rfam family "Bacterial small subunit ribosomal RNA", at positions 506 to 784 of the family's 1533-position model. The record is from RNAcentral.